Molecule: ribosomal RNA, 1068 nt
Filed under: Pediococcus acidilactici
Lineage: Bacteria; Bacillati; Bacillota; Bacilli; Lactobacillales; Lactobacillaceae
Description: bacterial SSU rRNA
Rfam family: Bacterial small subunit ribosomal RNA
Source: RNAcentral
AGCACGCCGCGUGAGUGAAGAAGGGUUUCGGCUCGUAAAGCUCUGUUGUUAAAGAAGAACGUGGGUGAGAGUAACUGUUCACCCAGUGACGGUAUUUAACCAGAAAGCCACGGCUAACUACGUGCCAGCAGCCGCGGUAAUACGUAGGUGGCAAGCGUUAUCCGGAUUUAUUGGGCGUAAAGCGAGCGCAGGCGGUCUUUUAAGUCUAAUGUGAAAGCCUUCGGCUCAACCGAAGAAGUGCAUUGGAAACUGGGAGACUUGAGUGCAGAAGAGGACAGUGGAACUCCAUGUGUAGCGGUGAAAUGCGUAGAUAUAUGGAAGAACACCAGUGGCGAAGGCGGCUGUCUGGUCUGUAACUGACGCUGAGGCUCGAAAGCAUGGGUAGCGAACAGGAUUAGAUACCCUGGUAGUCCAUGCCGUAAACGAUGAUUACUAAGUGUUGGAGGGUUUCCGCCCUUCAGUGCUGCAGCUAACGCAUUAAGUAAUCCGCCUGGGGAGUACGACCGCAAGGUUGAAACUCAAAAGAAUUGACGGGGGCCCGCACAAGCGGUGGAGCAUGUGGUUUAAUUCGAAGCUACGCGAAGAACCUUACCAGGUCUUGACAUCUUCUGCCAACCUAAGAGAUUAGGCGUUCCCUUCGGGGACAGAAUGACAGGUGGUGCAUGGUUGUCGUCAGCUCGUGUCGUGAGAUGUUGGGUUAAGUCCCGCAACGAGCGCAACCCUUAUUACUAGUUGCCAGCAUUCAGUUGGGCACUCUAGUGAGACUGCCGGUGACAAACCGGAGGAAGGUGGGGACGACGUCAAAUCAUCAUGCCCCUUAUGACCUGGGCUACACACGUGCUACAAUGGAUGGUACAACGAGUCGCGAAACCGCGAGGUUUAGCUAAUCUCUUAAAACCAUUCUCAGUUCGGACUGUAGGCUGCAACUCGCCUACACGAAGUCGGAAUCGCUAGUAAUCGCGGAUCAGCAUGCCGCGGUGAAUACGUUCCCGGGCCUUGUACACACCGCCCGUCACACCAUGAGAGUUUGUAACACCCAAAGCCGGUGGGGUAACCUUUUAGGAGCUA